RNAcentral lists this ribosomal RNA (301 nucleotides) under uncultured bacterium. Its description in RNAcentral is "partial 16S ribosomal RNA". It matches the Rfam family "Bacterial small subunit ribosomal RNA", at positions 509 to 807 of the family's 1533-position model. The record is from RNAcentral.
CAGUAGCCACGGGAAUACGUAGGGUGCAAGCGUUAAUCGGAAUUACUGGGCGUAAAGCGUGCGCAGGCGGUUAUAUAAGUCAGAUGUGAAAUCCCCGGGCUCAACCUGGGAACUGCAUUUGAGACUGUAUGGCUAGAGUGUGUCAGAGGGGGGUAGAAUUCCACGUGUAGCAGUGAAAUGCGUAGAUAUGUGGAGGAAUACCGAUGGCGAAGGCAGCCCCCUGGGAUAACACUGACGCUCAUGCACGAAAGCGUGGGGAGCAAACAGGAUUAGAUACCCGCGUAGUCCCUGUCUCUUAUAC